UGGGGAAUCUUGCACAAUGGGGGAAACCCUGAUGCAGCGACGCCGCGUGUGCGAUGAAGCCCUUCGGGGUGUAAAGCUCUUUCGGCAGGGCCGAAAGUGACGGUACCUGCAGAAGCAGCUGCGGCUAACUACGUGCCAGCAGCGGCGGUAAUACGUCGGCAGCGAGCGUUGUUCGGCGUUACUGGGCGUAAAGGGUGUGUAGGCGGUUCUCUAAGUUUGGUGUGAAAUCUCCCGGCUUAACCGGGAGGGGGCGCCGAAAACUGGGGAGUUAGAGUGCGGGAAGGGAGAGUGGAAUUCCUGGUGCAGCGGUGAAAUGCGUAGAUAUCAGGAGGAACACCAGUGCUGUAGACGGCUCUCUGGACCGUAACUGACGCUGAGACACGAAAGCGUGGGUAGCAAACA
RNAcentral lists this ribosomal RNA (402 nucleotides) under uncultured bacterium. Its description in RNAcentral is "bacterial SSU rRNA". It matches the Rfam family "Bacterial small subunit ribosomal RNA", at positions 355 to 774 of the family's 1533-position model. The record is from RNAcentral.